GGAAACAGGUGCUAAUACCGGAUAACAACACUAGACGCAUGUCUAGAGUUUGAAAGAUGGUUCUGCUAUCACUCUUGGAUGGACCUGCGGUGCAUUAGCUAGUUGGUAAGGUAACGGCUUACCAAGGCAAUGAUGCAUAGCCGAGUUGAGAGACUGAUCGGCCACAUUGGGACUGAGACACGGCCCAAACUCCUACGGGAGGCAGCAGUAGGGAAUCUUCCACAAUGGACGAAAGUCUGAUGGAGCAACGCCGCGUGAGUGAAGAAGGGUUUCGGCUCGUAAAGCUCUGUUGGUAGUGAAGAAAGAUAGAGGUAGUAACUGGCCUUUAUUUGACGGUAAUUACUUAGAAAGUCACGGCUAACUACGUGCCAGCAGCCGCGGUAAUACGAU
Molecule: ribosomal RNA, 390 nt
Filed under: uncultured bacterium
Lineage: Bacteria
Description: bacterial SSU rRNA
Rfam family: Bacterial small subunit ribosomal RNA
Source: RNAcentral